Molecule: unclassified non-coding RNA, 327 nt
Filed under: soil metagenome
Description: partial contains 5.8S ribosomal RNA, internal transcribed spacer 2, and large subunit ribosomal RNA
Rfam family: 5.8S ribosomal RNA (bases 1-120)
Source: RNAcentral
GAUGAAGAACGUAGCGAAAUGCGAUAAGUAAUGUGAAUUGCAGAAUUCAGUGAAUCAUCGAAUCUUUGAGCGCACAUUGCGCCCACUAGUAUUCUGGUGGGCAUGCCUGUUCGAGCGUCAUUUCAACCAUCAAGCCUGGCUUGGUGUUGGGGCUCUGCGUCUGCAGUCCCUUAAAUCCAGUGGCGGACACGCUAGGUCUCCGAGCGCAGUAGUUUCUCCUCGCUCAGGGCGUCCGGCGUGGGCUUGCCUCGCACCCAUCUUUUACACGGUUGACCUCGGAUCAGGUAGGAAUACCCGCUGAACUUAAGCAUAUCAAUAAGCGGAGGA